RNAcentral lists this ribosomal RNA (250 nucleotides) under uncultured prokaryote. RNAcentral's name for it is "partial 16S ribosomal RNA". It matches the Rfam family "Bacterial small subunit ribosomal RNA", at positions 524 to 774 of the family's 1533-position model. The record is from RNAcentral.
UACGGAGGAUGCGAGCGUUAUCCGGAUUUAUUGGGUUUAAAGGGUGCGCAGGCGGUCUGUCAAGUCAGCGGUCAAACUGCGGCGCUCAACGCCGUAUCGCCGUUGAAACUGGCGGACUCGAGUGUGUGGGAGGAUGGCGGAAUGCGCGGUGUAGCGGUGAAAUGCAUAGAUAUCGCGCAGAACCCCGAUUGCGAAGGCAGCUGUCCACCACGCCACUGACGCUCAUGCACGAAAGCGUGGGUAUCGAACA